GACGAACGCUGGCGGCGUGCUUAACACAUGCAAGUCGAACGGAAAGGCCCUGCUUUUGUGGGGUGCUCGAGUGGCGAACGGGUGAGUAACACGUGAGUAACCUGCCCUUGACUUUGGGAUAACUUCAGGAAACUGGGGCUAAUACCGGAUAGGAGCUCCUGCUGCAUGGUGGGGGUUGGAAAGUUUCGGCGGUUGGGGAUGGACUCGCGGCUUAUCAGCUUGUUGGUGGGGUAGUGGCUUACCAAGGCUUUGACGGGUAGCCGGCCUGAGAGGGUGACCGGCCACAUUGGGACUGAGAUACGGCCCAGACUCCUACGGGAGGCAGCAGUGGAGAAUAUUGCACAAUGGGCGGAAGCCUGAUGCAGCAACGCCGCGUGCGGGAUGACGGCCUUCGGGUUGUAAACCGCUUUCGCCUGUGACGAAGCGUGAGUGACGGUAAUGGGUAAAGAAGCACGGGCUAACUACGUG
RNAcentral lists this ribosomal RNA (468 nucleotides) under uncultured bacterium. RNAcentral describes it as "partial 16S ribosomal RNA". It matches the Rfam family "Bacterial small subunit ribosomal RNA", at positions 28 to 507 of the family's 1533-position model. The record is from RNAcentral.